Molecule: ribosomal RNA, 472 nt
Filed under: uncultured bacterium
Lineage: Bacteria
Description: partial 16S ribosomal RNA
Rfam family: Bacterial small subunit ribosomal RNA
Source: RNAcentral
GACGAACGCUGGCGGCGUGCUUAACACAUGCAAGUCGAGCGAGAAACCUUCGGGUUUCUAGCGGCGGACGGGUGAGUAACACGUGGGUAACCUGCCUCAAAGAGGGGGAUAGCCUUCCGAAAGGAAGAUUAAUACCGCAUAAUAUUACAGUUUCGCAUGAAGCAGUAAUUAAAGGAGUAAUCCGCUUUGAGAUGGACCCGCGGCGCAUUAGCUAGUUGGAGAGGUAACGGCUCACCAAGGCAACGAUGCGUAGCCGACCUGAGAGGGUGAUCGGCCACAUUGGAACUGAGACACGGUCCUGACUCCUACGGGAGGCAGCAGUGGGGAAUAUUGCACAAUGGGCGAAAACCUGAUGCAGCAACGCCGCGUGAGUGAUGAAGGUCUUCGGAUUGCAAAGCUCUGUCUUUUGGGACGAUAAUGACGGUACCAAAGGAGGAAGCCACGGCUAACUACGUGCCAGCCGCCGCGGUAA